This 936-nucleotide long non-coding RNA is filed under the name Nicotiana benthamiana. RNAcentral describes it as "long non-coding RNA (NBEN_LNC017556)". Lineage: Eukaryota; Viridiplantae; Streptophyta; Magnoliopsida; Solanales; Solanaceae. The record is from RNAcentral.
UUUCAAAGAUCGAUUAUGUCCCAAACUGUCGAGAAAACAAGAUAAUCUAGUGACUCACUUAACAUAUGAGGAGAGUAACAUUUAGAGACAGUAGACAAAACAAAGAGUUACACUUUCAGAUCGUUAUCCAGGAAAGAUAAAGUUGUCAAUUCAAUCCCAAGAUAAAAGGAAAUCAUGUUAGUUUAAAUCCAAAGGCAAAUCCACUGAACCUUAAUAGAACGUUAAUUAUAUUCAAACUAAGCUUCAAGUCUUACGAACUAUCUACAUAAUUUUAGAAUUUUAGAUCCAUUUUUAAUCCUCAGGGAUCUUAUUAUACUCCAAUCACGCGAAAUUAACAACUAAAAGAGUCUUAGUUAUUGGUUCUACUUUCAUCGAAACUCUAAAGGGAAAGGGCCCAGAAAUACCUGGGUCAGCCGGGGUAGACAGCGCAGUGGAGUCGAUGGAGUGAAGCCGGAAAGCUGGGAGAAGGAAGAGCGGAGGUACGAAGUGACUCGAAAGAGGAAACGAAAUGAGUUGAACUAUGUUCAACGUACGUAGUGAACGAAGUACCUCUGCGCAUGAUGGAGUAAUCUCUUCGUCUAAUCAUGAGGUCACAUGGACUUUCUCUGGGAUUGAUUCCCGUUGUGGAUUGCUGCGCAGCUAACUACCGACCCCGAAAUUUCAUAUAGAAAUCAAAAGAUCGUAUAUGAUCGAUCGCGAGUUCGAGUUCGGUCAUCCUGGAUUCGUGUACUUCACCGACCCGUCUUCCAAAUAAAAAAAAGGGCUCAGAGAUGAACCUGAAAUAUAGCUCUCCAAUUAACAAAAGUUCAGCAGUUACAAUCUUGAAUAGAGCGAGUCCGAAUGAGAAUCAGCAAGAUCUUCGAACAAAAACCAAGAACAACGAUCUGAAACACAGCGGCGACUCCGAAAAUUCGAACACCACCCCUCGCUGUCACU